This 497-nucleotide ribosomal RNA is filed under the name uncultured bacterium. Its description in RNAcentral is "partial 16S ribosomal RNA". It matches the Rfam family "Bacterial small subunit ribosomal RNA", at positions 28 to 507 of the family's 1533-position model. The record is from RNAcentral.
GAUGAACGCUGGCGGCGUGCCUAAUACAUGCAAGUCGAGCGAACGGACGAGAAGCUUGCUUCUCUGAUGUUAGCGGCGGACGGGUGAGUAACACGUGGAUAACCUACCUAUAAGACUGGGAUAACUUCGGGAAACCGGAGCUAAUACCGGAUAAUAUUUUGAACCGCAUGGUUCAAAAGUGAAAGACGGUCUUGCUGUCACUUCUAGAUGGAUCCGCGCUGCAUUAGCUAGUUGGUAAGGUAACGGCUUACCAAGGCAACGAUGCAUAGCCGACCUGAGAGGGUGAUCGGCCACACUGGAACUGAGACACGGUCCAGACUCCUACGGGAGGCAGCAGUAGGGAAUCUUCCGCAAUGGGCGAAAGCCUGACGGAGCAACGCCGCGUGAGUGAUGAAGGUCUUCGGAUCGUAAAACUCUGUUACUAGGGAAGAACAUAUGUGUAAGUAACUGUGCACAUCUUGACGGUACCUAAUCAGAAAGCCACGGCUAACUACGUG